AUCGGCAGCCAUAUGACCCUGUAGCCCAAGACCCACUGAAGCUAAGCAGGGUUGAGCCUGGGCAGUAUCUGGAUGGGAGACCUCCUGGGAAAACUAGGUUGCUGCUGGAA
This 110-nucleotide ribosomal RNA is filed under the name Sinocyclocheilus rhinocerous. Lineage: Eukaryota; Metazoa; Chordata; Actinopteri; Cypriniformes; Cyprinidae. The record is from RNAcentral.